UGUGUGUUUCUGUGUGUGUGUGUGUGUCCAUGUCUAUGUGUGUCUCUGUGUGUGUCUGUGUGUCUCUGUGUCUGUGUGUCUUUGUGUGAGUGUCUCCGUGUGUGUCUGUGUCUGUGUGUAUCUGAAUGUCUCCGUGUCUGUGUGUCUGUGUGUCUGUGUGUUUGUGUGUGUGUGUGUGUCUGUGUGUCUGUCUGUCUCUGUGUCUGUGUGUGUCUGUGUGUCUCCGUGUGUGUGUCUCUGUGUGUCUGUGUCUGUGUGUCUCCGU
This 265-nucleotide long non-coding RNA is filed under the name Homo sapiens (human). RNAcentral describes it as "HSALNT0358844". Lineage: Eukaryota; Metazoa; Chordata; Mammalia; Primates; Hominidae. The record is from RNAcentral.